Solea senegalensis (Senegalese sole) is the source of this 799-nucleotide long non-coding RNA. RefSeq lists it as uncharacterized. NCBI's taxonomy places the organism in Eukaryota, Metazoa, Chordata, Actinopteri, Pleuronectiformes, Soleidae. The record is from RefSeq and is a predicted model, not a curated record. The transcript is spliced from 7 exons.
GUUAUCCGUCUUUCACUGCUCAACAUUGAUACGACUUUCUACUUGUAGGAGGUCGGAGCGUAGUAAAAGACUAGUUGUUUCACAGGAAAAGGCUGUAGAAUGAACCCUGUGGUUAAAUCUGCAAAUUCAAUGACUGAGUGUCCAAAGAUCUGCUGGAGGAACACGUGUGCAGAUGGAUAAAAAUGCUAGCUGAAACGCAUGGAACCAUAUUGGAUUUCACCUAUGAUGGACACAGUGACCUCUGGUGGCUCCUUGGUCUCCUGAUGGAACAGUCUCAUGCCUCUUGAGUCUUUGAUUCUACAGUUGUCAUGAACUGUUGGUGUUUGCGCUUGGCCAACGGGUUCUCUUGCUCAUCCACACUGAAGUUGCCGUGAUUGAUCUGCAGCUGCGAGUACCUGGGACGUUGCUCAUGUGUUUGACUGUGGCAGCUGAAGCUUGGAUGACAAAGACCAGCAAGUACCUGGGACUUUGCUCCUGUAAGUUGUGUUUGACUGUGGCAGCUGAAGCUUGGAUGACACCCAGACCAGCUGGACGUGGUUGCUAAGGUGUUGCGUGCAAAGUUAAAGGAUUACCCAUGGCCUUGGAUGACCACUGGAGCCUUUAAAUCGACUGUCUAUCUGAAAAUGCUGGCUGACGCUGGUCACUGACAAGUUGUUGUCCAGGGAAAUUGAAGCAAGAGAAGGUUUUGAGUUCAUGCUGGCUCACUUUGUCCUGGCCAACAGUGACACCUGUGAGUUUUCUGCCAUGAAAAAGUACUUCAACUGAAAUUUCUGAUUUAAUAAAAUUGCUUAAAUGCAAA